ACCUCUGAGAGCUGUUAAUCAUCUUGCAGCACUCCCAGUGCUGCCGCUUCCAUUGCUGUCUGGUUCAGCGUCCGGUGCUGUCCGUCCCGACCUCCAGACUGUGGCUGGGCUGCUGCGGCGUCAUCUCCGUGGCCUCCUCGGAGUACCUCCAGCUGUGGUGCCAUCUCUCUAGUUUCAACACAUGCAGUUGUUCCCAGACUCAGUGUUGCUAGAGAAUGAGGCAGAAGAGCUUGCCAUUUUCAAGACACAAGUUGGAAGCCACACAGCCACCAAUGUGCUCACCAAAGCCCCUGGGCUUCACUGGAGGAGGAUAGAGACCCCCCACUUGACCAUGAGUAUGUCUUGGAAUUUCUCCAGGAGACCCACACAUUUCUACUUUUAUCAGGUCUCCAGCUGGGAAGAAAUGUUCCAUCAAUGGAUGUGAAUCCUGUGAACGGAUGUCACUGGUCCCAAGUCAACAUCAAAGCUGGGCCCAUUCUGCUUAAACUUGCCAUGACCAUUUCCAGCUCCUGUCCCUGAGGUGUGCAUAAUUACACCAUUGCCUUUCUCCUAAGAACCUACACCCUGAAGUUCUCCUAUUCACUCAGUGUGAGCCUGACCUUUAUUUCCACAGUACAAGGCUUAGGUCACAGGCAUGUUGGGCAGGGGAGAAGAGGCGUGGGGGGUGAGAAAGGAGGUAUUUAUUGCAGUCCUAACAGAAUUAGGGGGCUGAA
Long non-coding RNA from Talpa occidentalis (Iberian mole), 713 nucleotides. RefSeq lists it as uncharacterized. Lineage: Eukaryota; Metazoa; Chordata; Mammalia; Eulipotyphla; Talpidae. The transcript has 3 exons. The record is from RefSeq and is a predicted model, not a curated record.